CUGAGCAGGCCGCUCCGAUACGACGGUUUCGGACUUUUAAUCCGUAGGUUGUGGGUUCGAGUCCCACGCGACCCA
This 75-nucleotide transfer RNA is filed under the name Actinomadura nitritigenes. Its description in RNAcentral is "tRNA-OTHER". It matches the Rfam family "tRNA". From Rfam's summary of the family: Transfer RNA (tRNA) molecules are approximately 80 nucleotides in length. Their secondary structure includes four short double-helical elements and three loops (D, anti-codon, and T loops). Lineage: Bacteria; Bacillati; Actinomycetota; Actinomycetes; Streptosporangiales; Thermomonosporaceae. The record is from RNAcentral.